Oncorhynchus tshawytscha (Chinook salmon) is the source of this 1355-nucleotide long non-coding RNA. NCBI's taxonomy places the organism in Eukaryota, Metazoa, Chordata, Actinopteri, Salmoniformes, Salmonidae. The record is from Ensembl.
CCAUGCAAGCAGCUCACAAAAUUGAUGGAAGUUGUAUAUUUCUAAAUGACUAAAUUCUUUCAGACUGUAAUUGGCUAAUAUUUUCUGAUCGUUCUCCAAGGGGAACUGUAUAACAAUGCAAGCAGCUCACAAUUAAUGAGAGUAGUCAUUUUCUUGGGAGACUAUAGCAGUGCUCAAAUAUGUUCUGAUCCUGCUCCAAGGCUGGUGUGGUGAGAUGUGGUGUGGUUAAAUGUGGGGAGGUGAGGUGUGGUGUGGUGAGGUGAGGUGAGGUAUGGUGAGAUGUGGUGUGGUUAGAUGUGGGGAGGUGAGGUGUGGUGUGGUGUGGUGUAGUGAGGUGUGGUGAGGUGUGGUGUGGUGAGGUGAGGUAUGGUGAGAUGUGGGGAGGUGCGGUGAGAUGUGGUGUGGUGUGGUAUGGUAUGGUGAGAUGUGGUGUGGGGAGGUGAGGUGAGGUGAGGUGAGGUGUGGUGAGGUGAGGUGAGGUGUGGUGUGGUAUGGUAUGGUGAGAUGUGGUGUGGUGUGGUUAGAUGUGGGGAGGUGAUGUGUGGUGAGAUGCGGUGUGGUGAGGUGUGGUGUGGUGAGAUGAGAUGUGGUGUGGUGAGAUGUGGGGCGGUGAGAUGAGGUGUGGUGUGGUGAGAAGUGGUGUGUUGUGUCUGAGGUGUGGUGCGGUGAGAUGAGGUGUGGUGUGGUGAGAUGUGGUGUGUUGUGUCUGAGGUAUGGUGCGGUGAGAUGAGGUGUGGUGAGAUGUGGUGUGUUGUGGUGAGAUGUGGUGUGUUGUGUCUGAGGUGUGGUGUGUUAUGUCUGAGGUGUGUUGUGUCUGAGGUGUGGUGUGGUGAGAUGUGGUGUGUUGUGUCUGCGGUGUGGUGUGGUGUGGUGAGGUGUGGUGAGAUGUGGUGUGUUGUGUCUGCGGUGUGGUGUGGUGUGGUGAGAUGAGGUGUGUUGUGUCUGAGGUGUGGUGUGGUGAGAUGAGGUGUGGUGUGGUGAGAUGAGAUGAGGUGUGGUGUGGUGAGAUGAGGUGUGUUGUGUCUGAGUUGUGGUGUGGUGAGAUGAGGUGUGUUGUGUCUGAGGUGUGGUGAGAUGUGGGGAGAUGUGGUGAGGUGUGGUGUGUUGUGUCUGAGGUGUGGUGUGUUGUGUCUGAGGUGUGGUGAGAUGAGGUGUGGUGUGGUGAGAUGAGAUGAGGUGUGGUGUGGUGAGAUGAGGUGUGUUGUGUCUGAGGUGUGGUAGCGGAUGUAUAUAUCAUGAUGUAGGUAAAGGUCAGGCACAGUGCAUCUAAUUCUUCUCCUGAUUGUUUUGAAGGGCGUUGUGGCAGCAUCCAUCAGGCCACUUUAUAAAGGCUUCCGCCGGUCCGUAGUGCCUCG